CCUACGGGGGGCAGCAGUAGGGGAUCUUCGGCAAUGGAGGAAACCCUGAUGGAGCAACGCCGCGUGAGUGAAGAAGUAUUUCGGUAUGUAAAGCUCUAUCGUCAGGGAAGAAAAUGACAGUACCUAACCGAAAAUCCCCUGCUGACUACUUGCCAGCAGCCGCGGUAAUACGUAGGGGGCAAGCGUUAUCCGGAUUUAAUGUGGGUAAAGGGAGCGGAGGCGGUUGGGUAAGUCUGGAGUGAAAGCCCGGGGCCCAACCCGGGGAGUGCUUUGGAAACUGUGUAACUGGAGUACAGGAGGGGCGGGUGGAAUUCCAGGUGUAGCGGUGAAAUGCGUAGAUAUAAGGAGGAAAACCGGUGGCGAAGGCGGCCCGCUGGACUGAAACUGACGUUGAGGCUCGAAAGCGUGGGGAGCAAACAGGAUUAGAUACCCCUGUAGUC
This 440-nucleotide ribosomal RNA is filed under the name uncultured bacterium. RNAcentral describes it as "partial 16S ribosomal RNA". It matches the Rfam family "Bacterial small subunit ribosomal RNA", at positions 338 to 795 of the family's 1533-position model. The record is from RNAcentral.